AGAAAGGUAAGCUAAGCAUACAAAGCUAAUGGGCUCAUACCCCACUAAUAGGGGUGUAACCUCUCUUUUCUA
This 72-nucleotide transfer RNA is filed under the name Glossotermes oculatus. RNAcentral's name for it is "tRNA-Met". The record is from RNAcentral. Lineage: Eukaryota; Metazoa; Arthropoda; Insecta; Blattodea; Rhinotermitidae.